Molecule: ribosomal RNA, 600 nt
Filed under: Nisaea denitrificans
Lineage: Bacteria; Pseudomonadati; Pseudomonadota; Alphaproteobacteria; Rhodospirillales; Thalassobaculaceae
Description: bacterial SSU rRNA
Rfam family: Bacterial small subunit ribosomal RNA
Source: RNAcentral
GAGAAGGUGUACUUCGGUACACUGGACAGUGGCGCACGGGUGAGUAACGCGUGGGAACCUGCCCCGAGGUACGGAACAACGGCUGGAAACGGCCGCUAAUGCCGUAUGUGUCCUGAGGGAGAAAGAUUUAUCGCCUUGGGAGGGGCCCGCGUCCGAUUAGCUAGUUGGUGAGGUAAUGGCUCACCAAGGCGACGAUCGGUAGCUGGUCUGAGAGGAUGAUCAGCCACACUGGGACUGAGACACGGCCCAGACUCCUACGGGAGGCAGCAGUGGGGAAUAUUGGACAAUGGGGGCAACCCUGAUCCAGCAAUGCCGCGUGUGUGAUGAAGGCCUUAGGGUUGUAAAGCACUUUCACUGGUGAAGAUGAUGACGGUAGCCAGAGAAGAAGCCCCGGCUAACUCCGUGCCAGCAGCCGCGGUAAUACGGAGGGGGCAAGCGUUGUUCGGAAUUACUGGGCGUAAAGGGCGUGUAGGCGGCGGUCUUAGUCAGGCGUGAAAGCCCGGGGCUCAACCUCGGAAUAGCGCUUGAUACUGGAUUGCUUGAGACCGGAAGAGGGUAGUGGAAUUCCCAGUGUAGAGGUGAAAUUCGUAGAUAUUGGGA